CCUACGGGGUGCAGCAGUGAGGAAUAUUGGUCAAUGGACGAGAGUCUGAACCAGCCAAGUAGCGUGAAGGAUGACUGCCCUAUGGGUUGUAAACUUCUUUUAUAUGGGAAUAAAACGUUCCACGUGUGGGAUUUUGUAUGUACCAUAUGAAUAAGGAUCGGCUAACUCCGUGCCAGCAGCCGCGGUAAUACGGAGGAUCCGAGCGUUAUCCGGAUUUAUUGGGUUUAAAGGGAGCGUAGGUGGAUUGUUAAGUCAGUUGUGAAAGUUUGCGGCUCAACCGUAAAAUUGCAGUUGAAACUGGCAGUCUUGAGUACAGUAGAGGUGGGCGGAAGUCGUGGUGUAGCGGUGAAAUGCUUAGAUAUCACGAAGAACUCCGAUUGCGAAGGCAGUUCACUGGACUGCAACUGACACUGAGGCUCGAAAGUGUGGGUAUCAAACAGGAUUAGAUACCCUAGUAGUC
RNAcentral lists this ribosomal RNA (460 nucleotides) under uncultured bacterium. RNAcentral describes it as "partial 16S ribosomal RNA". It matches the Rfam family "Bacterial small subunit ribosomal RNA", at positions 338 to 795 of the family's 1533-position model. The record is from RNAcentral.